UCAGUCAAUAGAGGCGCGGAGAGCGGGGUACUGCUGCGAGUGGGGACAGGCACCCGUGUGGCACAGCAGGAAGGAGCUUUCCGCCGAAAGUGGCAGAUCAGCCUGGGGGUCUGCCGCUUGGCAGCGCCGUGUAAGCGGCGUUGCUGUCAUGUAGUGAUACAUGGAGCGCUAUUGGUCAA
This 179-nucleotide non-coding RNA is filed under the name Bacillota bacterium. RNAcentral's name for it is "Firmicutes bacterium Lysine sequence". It matches the Rfam family "Lysine riboswitch aptamer". From Rfam's summary of the family: Riboswitches are metabolite binding domains within certain messenger RNAs that serve as precision sensors for their corresponding targets. Allosteric rearrangement of mRNA structure is mediated by ligand binding, and this results in modulation of gene expression. Lineage: Bacteria; Bacillati; Bacillota. The record is from RNAcentral.